This 397-nucleotide ribosomal RNA is filed under the name uncultured bacterium. RNAcentral describes it as "bacterial SSU rRNA". It matches the Rfam family "Bacterial small subunit ribosomal RNA", at positions 29 to 424 of the family's 1533-position model. The record is from RNAcentral.
AUUGAACGCUGGCGGCGUGCCUAACACAUGCAAGUCGAGCGGUAACAGGUGUAGCAAUACAUGCUGACGAGCGGCGGACGGGUGAGUAACGCUUGGGAAUCUGCCUAUUAGUGGGGGACAACCCGGGGAAACUCGGGCUAAUACCGCAUACGCACUACGGUGGAAAGCCGGGGACCGCAAGGCCUGGCGCUAACAGAUGAGCCCAAGUCGGAUUAGCUAGUUGGUAGGGUAACGGCCUACCAAGGCGACGAUCCGUAACUGGUCUGAGAGGACGACCAGUCACACCGGAACUGAGACACGGUCCGGACUCCUACGGGAGGCAGCAGUGGGGAAUCUUGCGCAAUGGGCGAAAGACCUGACGCAGCGACGCCGCGUGAGGGAUGACGGCCUGUGUACU